UAAAGACCUAGACUGAAUAAUGUACUUUUACGACAAAACGUUUACGGAGGCAAUCGUGAUUUAUAACACUGACAACCUAGUGUUCCGGAUGUAAAACGUAAGGCUUGUGAUGUCAUGACCCGUAAUAUCAAAACCAGAAAUCUGCCGCGAGAGAAUCAUGCUAACCUUCCUAAUCUUUUAUUCUUAAAAUAAAAGUGCAGUUUCUUCCAUUUUUGUGAAGCAUUGGAGUGUAACUUGUCGCGCGGAUGUGGCUGUCAUGCAGGCAAUAGGUCUCAUUGUAUUAACUAAAUAAAUAUCUAGAAAAUGGAUGAAGAAGAAGUAUUUGAAGAUACCGUAUCUGUGACAUCAGAACCGUCAAAGCGCGACAAAGAGUAUAUAAGUCUUUCACGCUUUACUGUCUACCACAGUGCAGAAGACAUUCCAUUGGAAGAACAAGAAGAAGCUGAUGGUGAUAAGGCAGUCAGUGCAGAGAAUUGUAGGCUGAUGGACAAACCUGCACAGUUCAGCACCAGUGACGCAGAAGACAAGAUUCCCACAAUGUCAAUUAAUGGAAGUUCAGUGGACUUCGUACUGGUGUGGGAAGAAGAAGGAAGCAAAGCAGCAUCUAGUGCUGCAGCAAAUGCCAAAAUAAAACGAGAGAUCUUUGAAAAACAUUUGGAAGAAGAAGGUCUGAUUCUGGAACAUGAAAAAGUGAAGCAUUUGAAUUUUGUGAAAAUACAUGCUACUCAUGAAGUGCUGUGCCGUUAUACUGAAAUCCUGAAACUUCGUAUGCCAAUGAAAGAGUUUGAUGGUGCAUACUUGGAGGAACCUUCAUUUGACAUAAUGCAAGAAGUCAAAUCACUUGUGAAGCGUGCCUUAGAGUUUGUACGAGUGGACCCCAAAGUGUUCAAGCCAGUGGAACGAAAGUUAACUGCAGAGUUUAGUCGAGAUAAAGAAUAUUUAUUUGAUGUUGAUGCACCAAAUUUCUUCACACCUGCAGUAAGGAUCCUAGUUGUUGAUUUUAUUUUACAGCGGCAGAAAUUUUCUGAGGAUUCUGGGGAUUUAUUUUCAUUUGGAAUCAAUAGAUUGAUUACAGAAGGUGUUUACAAGGCUGCUUAUCCUCUCCAUGAUGGCGAUUUUAGAGACAGAUCAUGUAUGAGAGGUCUGUUAUUUCAUGAGUGGGCAUCUGUGCAAAAAUGGAUAAAAUUCCAGCCAGUAGAUCAUGUAAAAGAUUAUUUUGGUGUAAAAUUCGGAUUAUAUUUUGCUUGGCUUGGUUUUUAUUCUCAUAUGUUGAUACCUGCUUCAAUAGUUGGUCUUAUAUGUUUCUUCUAUGGAGUCUGUACUAUGUUUUCGAAUCGCUUAAGUCAAGACAUUUGCAAUGAAAGCUUAAACAUUACAAUGUGUCCACUAUGUGACAGAACAUGUGAAUAUUGGAACCUAGCAGAGACGUGUACAUAUGCACGCAUCACAUACUUAUUUGACAAUCCAUUUACUGUGUUCUUCGCAAUAUUUAUGUCCUUUUGGGCGACACUGUUCCUGGAACUGUGGAAACGGUACUCAGCUAGCAUAGUACAUCGCUGGGGGCUCACUGGUUUUGAUCUCCAGGCUGAGCAUCCCCGUCCAGAAUAUCUGGCACGUCUUUCUCAUGUAAAGCGCAACAAAGUGAAUGUCGUUACUGGACUGGAGGAACCCUAUGUGCCAUUCUGGAAAGUGAGAGUGCCUGCAACCAUUCUGAGCUUCUCAGUUGUUUUGCUUCUGAUUGCUUUGGCCGUUGGUGCGGUUUUUGGAGUUGUACUUUAUCGUAUACACUAGAUCGCGUGUUGAUUGAAUACUACCGGCACCAUGCGGACUUUUCUCUAUGGGAAAAUUGCUUCGGGAUUGAAUACAACAGGAACCAUGCGGACUUUUCUCAAUUCGACCUAUGUCUCAAACUGUCUACGCUUUGAUUGUUCCCUGGGAGACCAGUAGUAGUUUACAUUGAAGAUCUAUCUAUUUCAGUUUGUUAACUACUACACAUCUAUUUUCUACAUAGCAUUUCUCAAAGGAAAAUUUGUGGGUUAUCCCUCAAAAUACAACAGAAUUCUUGGUUAUAGACAAGAGGAGUGCAGUCCAGGUGGUUGUCUUAUGGAAUUGUGUAUACAGCUAGCUAUUAUAAUGGUUGGAAAGCAAGCAAUGAAUAGCAUACUGGAAAUGGUCAUACCGCUGCUACAGAAAUGGUACAAUACUUUCAAACUGCUAACUGGACUUGGAAAAGAAGAUGAUGCAAAAGCUGUGAGCAGCACUCGCUGGGCCCAAGAUUAUAGGCUUUUGGACUGGGGUCCAAGAGGACUUUUUCCAGAAUAUCUGGAAAUGGUUUUACAGUAUGGAUUUGUUACAAUUUUUGUUGCGGCCUUUCCACUGGCUCCAUUCUUUGCGCUGCUCAAUAAUGUGCUUGAAAUGAGACUGGAUGCAAAGAAGUUCCUCAAAUUUUAUAGGCGUCCUGUGCCUCACAGAGUUAAAGAUAUAGGAGUAUGGUUUCGCAUACUUGAUAUAAUUGGAAGACUAGCUGUUGUGACGAAUGCAUUUAUUAUUGCAUUUUCCUCAAAUUUCAUUCCACGUCUUGUGUAUAUGUCAGUGGUCAACCCAAACCAUACAGAUGAGGGUUUCCUGAAUCAUUCACUAGCAUAUUUCAAUACAUCAGAUUUUCCAUCACACUAUGCACCCCGCCAUCCAGAAAAUGUCACAAUGUGCAGGUACUUAGAAUAUCGCAAUCCUCCUUGGGACCCUCAUCCAUAUAAGCGGCCACCCAUUUACUGGCAUGUUCUGGCAGCAAGACUGGCAUUUAUAGUUGUUUUUCAGAAUGUUGUGGGAGUUGUGAUGGCUGCAGUGGAGUGGUGUAUACCUGACAUGUCACGGAAACUACGGGAUGAAAUAAGACGUGAAGCAUAUUUGACAAAUGAAAUCAUCAUUAAACAGGAGGCAAUGAGAGCUCGUGCUCGCUUGAGUCAAGUCAGCUCCGGGGAAUUCUUGGAAGCUGAGAGAAAAGGAGGAUCUGGUGAAAAUGGAGUUAGACAUCGUGAAGGCCAAUGGAACAAUCUUGUUGUUUGAGUUGCAAGUUAUUUAUUAUUUUCUUAAUAAGGUAAAGUGCAUCAAAAAACUGCUGUUAUAACUUUACAGGCUUUAAGCAGUUAAUUUAUUAAAAAGAUAAGUGGCUUAUGUCAAGAGAAGCCAGCAAUGUGAAUUUUGUAUAAGUUCCUUUUUCUAUGUUUUACUCUGAGGAAGUAAUAAUCACAUUCAAUUUCAUAUUUACUUCAGAUUACUAAUAAUGUUAUGUAAAUGUAUAAAACUGCUUCUAAUGUUGUAGAAUGUGAAAGUUUUCAACAAAGAUCUAUAUCCUCAAGGCUAUUUUGUAUAAAGUUGUAUUCUAAAGAUACAGACAGUAAAAUAUUUGUGGUCACAUAUCUAUUAUUGCCAAUAUAUUUAUAUUUAUUAACAUAUUUCAGAAUUUCAUAUCUUCAUUGCAAGAAGAGGAACAGAUCUGAAAUAUAUUUUGCUACUGAAAUAGUGAAAGUUUAUGAAAAAUGUAGCAGCUAGGUUUUUACAUGAAAAAGCAAUUUGGUAUUGCUUUUCAAGUUGUUAGUUGGUCAGUAAAGAGUCAUUUUUAGUUUAUGUUUAUGAUGGAAUUGAAUUCUGUCAAUUUUCAUAAGUAGUUGAGGCAUUGUGAAGUUAAAACUUUCCAUAUUGUACAUUGUAAAUGUGUGUUGUGAUAAUGAAUGUUGGUACUUAAAUUUUUAUUGUUGAAUAAUGGAUGAACAAUUUUAUAAUGUGUUGUUUGUAAUGUGAUUUUUAUAUUCUACUCAGUAGAUGAUGAUGAAGGGAUAGUCUAGCUUUUAUAUUUGUAUAUUUAAAUGUUACAGAUGUUUUUGGACAUUUUGUAAUUUUUUUUCCACUCCUUUAAUUAUUAAUAUAAAUACAUCACAAUUUAUAUUAUUUAUAACAAAAAUAAUGUAGUGUAAAAGUUUCAGUUCAAUGAAAGUGAUUCCAAAGUUGCAUUUAUAAUGUGAUUUAUGAAAAGAAGCAGAUCCUACUGCCAAAAUAUUUUGUCAUUUUAUGUGAUGUAUGCUUUGUGCCUGCACUUUAAGCUUUCUCUGGUACCUGAAAUUAAUGUUAGUUUGAUAUGCAUUUAAUUAAAGGAAAAUAGUCUUGUCAUAGGCAUCAUAGUGCGUAUAUAUUUCAGUGAAAAUGUUAUUGUACAGAAAGUUAUACAUAAAGACACUUUUAUAAACUUUUUAUUGAAAAUUAUGUUCCACUUAUUAAAAUACAGUAAUACAAUAUUUUCUGUAACUGGUAAUCUUUUUGCCUGUAUGACAACUAAUCAGAAAUUUACCAAAAGUGUUUGUAGACUGGUUGUUCUGCAUGUCACCUAUAUUUAUGUUCUUCCAGGGAAUGUGUAGGGUUAUGAAUAAUUGAAUCAAUAUAUGCUAUGAACUCCACAGGAGUGUAUUAAGAUGUGGUAAGCACUAUGAAAUGGGUACCCAUGUGUAUCAUUAGGGAGCAAAAAUUUGCAUGAACUACUAAUAGAUGCAGUUUUGAGAUAACUGGGGGAAAAAAUGUUAAGUGGAAUAACUGCAAAGCUGCACAUGGAUGCCAAACAUUAUAAAGGAGAGAGUUUUUCUGGUCGCAUUGGGGUUCAUUUUGAUUUCCUGCAAUAAUUGUCUAUAUUUCAGUAAUCUCUUACAAAAAUCUUACAGGUACUGCUAAAUUUAUCUUUACCUGUAAUAAAUGGAACCUGACUUCCACCAUGUCAGUUAAGGGAGUUUGAAAUUUUAGAGUGCUGGUCAUUAUUAUUAUUACCUACUGUGAUUUAUGUAAUCAAUGAUGAGCUCUUUUUGCCAUGUUCCUGUACAUUAUAAAAAAGGAGGGACAAAAUACUUACAGAACCAGUGACAGCUCAUCUGUUUAGCCAUUUACACCAUAACUGCGUAUUACAAUUUGUUUCUGGAGAUCUGCUAAGGCCUGUGUACUACGACACAUAGUAAUAUCCACUUCUUAGUGGCAUAGUCACCUUAGAAAAGGUUUGAAUUUUUUUUUUUUUUUGAAUAAUUUUCUUUUUUACUAUAUUGGCAUUUAAAAAAUGUUAAAUUCUAGCUACUCUAGAAUUAUGAUUCCCUUAUUUGUUCCUUGUUUUUCUUCUGUUUAAUUCCUCUGCCUCCAUCUUGCCAAAUGCAUUAAUCUCUUUUUCAUUUGUGCCUUUUAGUUGCAAAUGUCAAAACAUUUUUUUAUGGCUAAGAAAUGCUAAUUUAAAAUGUGACAUUUAAACUGUUAAGACUUUUGAAUAAAGAUCAGUAAAAGUGCUGUAAAUUCAAUCAAAAUUUAGAUUUUUGUAAUAAAAAUAUUUACCUAACAA
Molecule: RNA transcript, 5365 nt
Organism: Schistocerca gregaria
Lineage: Eukaryota; Metazoa; Arthropoda; Insecta; Orthoptera; Acrididae
Gene name: anoctamin-1-like
Exons: 16
Source: RefSeq, a predicted model, not a curated record